Molecule: long non-coding RNA, 1818 nt
Organism: Grus americana (Whooping crane)
Lineage: Eukaryota; Metazoa; Chordata; Aves; Gruiformes; Gruidae
Exons: 4
Source: RefSeq, a predicted model, not a curated record
CCCAUUUGCACCCUUCCCUGCUCCUGUUCAGGUAUUGCACUGGACCAGGAUGAUGAACUUCCACUACUUCAGAUUGUCCCACACAUUGGCUUUUAAAGGCAUUACCUUAGAAGACAAGAACCAGACCACUGUUUCAACAAGUAUUUGGUCAUGACUUUAAAAGGAGACAUCAGGUGUACGAGUCUCAAGUUUUCCCACUGGGUGGGGUGCAUUUCCUUGCAGUCAGAUAAACUUUCAGAAUUUUCUCAUCAACUUGUCAACAGCAAGGUUUGUACACUGUCAAGCACGUAGCUCACACCAAACAAAAGGAGACUGAGCACCAAGUGUUGCUGCAUCCCUCUUGUCCCCUCCAUCUAUACAAUGCCCUGACAGGGUUUUCUUCUAAUAAUGCGGUAGCAUUAUAGACCCUGUCAACUGCAGGCUCUGAAAACCUCCACUCUUCAAGCACUUACACAUGCGAGGAGUUCUAUUACAUUAAGUGGGAGCAUUUUCAUAAAAAUAUAAAGCAGUUUCAAGAUUUUUCAGGACUAUGGCCACAGACAAGCAAAUAAUUCCAUUUGGCCAAGAAGGCUCACGCUCAGUAUUCAGCUUUCAAAUUUUUCUUCUUAAUAUUUUUUGUUUUGCUGAAUUUAUGGAGCUCUAUGAAACAAUGCAUACAGAACUGUGUAUAAAUAAUGUACAUGAGGUAUAUGCAUUACCAAAAUGUAUACAUAUAUACACAUACAGAUGGAUUUGAAAAACAUUAACAGAAAUUGUUUAAUGCUUUUAAAUUAACAGGAAUUUAAAGACACCAUACAUAUACUGAUAUAUGCAUGGCAGAGAAAGCUGUAUAUGCUUAUGACAUACAGAAACAAUGAAAGUUCUUAGACAAAACCUAACUUAUUCUUGUAUAAGGAAAAAAAAAAAAAUCUACGUUCAGACAGUACAGUAUGUUCAGUCAAGUUCCAGCUUGUACAGGGAAGUAUUUUCUGUAAACGUUUUAACAAGCCAGAUGAACUUCAUGUAUAAACUUUGAAAGAAUGUUUAUAUAAGAGUCAUAAAAAGAGUACACUUCAUUAAAAGCACCAUGUAUCUGCUCCCUGAGAAAUCUUUUUUUACAUCAUGUUCCAAACUAAUCAGAUGUUUUGAGACAGAAAGUUUUACAUGAAAAACCUUAAAAGUUAUGAGAAUUACAGAAACUUUAAAAAAACAAUCAGGGAUUUCUGUUGUGUUAGUUAGGAAAGUGUUACACUUCCACAGUCUGGUUUUGUUUCCUAACUGCGUCCAAUGCUCAGGACUUGAUCUGUACUUGAAAGAAGCUGUCACCUCUCUCAUCACCUGACUCCACCUCACUUUGUUUACUCCAUGAAAAAUGAAUUAACAUCCAUUUUCCACACACUGAUAGAGUACAUAAGAUCCAAAAGGAUUCUAUUUUAUUAUCAUCAUCACACUUUUGUUGAAAAAUAAAGGCUUGCAUCUCUUGCAUAGCUCAAUAGUAUGAUGCAACUACUAUCAACGAUCUCCAGUUUGCACAAUAUUCUUCCUUAUUUUUGUGCCAACACACCUCAAUAAAGUGAGCAGUUCCCUCCCUCCAAGAAUUUGUCCCCAUGCUACAGAACUUUUUCCUAAGCAUGCAGUGGUCACUGAAGACCACAAAGUCUGUCUUUUUCGAGUUCUGCAUCAUACACGAUUACCACAUUUUUUUUUCUCUGCUGAGCAGAAGUCCAUUUUCCUGCAAAAGGUUUCAGAGUGAAAGGGAAGGGGUAGGGGUGGGGAAUAAGAAUCAGACGUAAGUUUUUGUUUUCAUAAAGAAGUGGCAGCAGCCGAGAUUCAGAAGAA